AGAGUUUGAUCCUGGCUCAGAACGAACGCUGGCGGCGUGCUUAACACAUGCAAGUCGAACGUGAAGGGGAGCUUGCUCCCUGGAAAGUGGCGCACGGGUGAGUAACGCGUGGAUAAUCUACCCGACGAUCUGGGAUAACAUCUCGAAAGGGGUGCUAAUACCGGAUAAGCCCACGGGGUCUUUGGAUCUUGCGGGAAAAGGGGGGGACCUUCGGGCCUUCUGUCGUCGGAUGAGUCCGCGUACCAUUAGCUAGUUGGUGGGGUAAAGGCCUACCAAGGCUACGAUGGUUAGCUGGUCUGAGAGGAUGAUCAGCCACACUGGAACUGAGACACGGUCCAGACUCCUACGGGAGGCAGCAGUGGGGAAUUUUGCGCAAUGGGGGAAACCCUGACGCAGCAACGCCGCGUGAGUGAUGAAGGCCUUCGGGUCGUAAAGCUCUGUCAGAGGGAAAGAAAUGCAGGGUGGCUAAUAACCGCUUUGCCUGACGGUACCCUCAAAGGAAGCACCGGCUAACUCCGUGCCAGCAGCCGCGGUAAUACGGAGGGUGCAAGCGUUGUUCGGAUUUAUUGGGCGUAAAGCGCGUGUAGGCGGUCUUUUAAGUCUGAUGUGAAAGCCCCGGGCUCAACCUGGGAAGUGCAUUGGAUACUGGGAGACUUGAGUACGGGAGAGGGUAGUGGAAUUCCCAGUGUAGGAGUGAAAUCCGUAGAUAUUGGGAGGAACACCGGUGGCGAAGGCGGCUACCUGGACCGAUACUGACGCUGAGACGCGAAAGCGUGGGGAGCAAACAGGAUUAGAUACCCUGAUAGUCCACGCCGUAAACGAUGAGUACUAGGUGUUGCGGGUAUUGACCCCUGCAGUGCCGCAGCUAACGCAUUAAGUACUCCGCCUGGGAAGUACGGUCGCAAGACUAAACUCAAAUGAAUUGACGG
Molecule: ribosomal RNA, 929 nt
Filed under: uncultured bacterium
Lineage: Bacteria
Description: bacterial SSU rRNA
Rfam family: Bacterial small subunit ribosomal RNA
Source: RNAcentral